Delphinapterus leucas (beluga whale) is the source of this 642-nucleotide non-coding RNA. The record is from RefSeq and is a predicted model, not a curated record. NCBI's taxonomy places the organism in Eukaryota, Metazoa, Chordata, Mammalia, Artiodactyla, Monodontidae.
CGGGCUGUGUGGGCCGCUGGGCUGAUUCCGCGUGUAACGGGCUCAGGCCCAGUAAGGGCUGGGCGGAGGCAUUUCUUCUGCCUACCUUCCCGAGGGCGACACUCGGUUGGGCCACCUGAACCCCCAGAGUCCCCGCAGGUUGCUAGGCAACCCCGGAAGCCCCCAGGGACGUAGUAGGGCUAGGACCUAAGGUGGCGAAAGCGGAUGCAGCGGGUGUCAAAACUGGCUUUCAGCUCCAACUCCACCUCCACCUCCACAUUUACAGGUUCCUGGGUUCCUCUGACUGCAAGUUGGGAAGAAAAAUAAUAGCGUAAAGGAAAAAAAUGUUGCGUGCCAUUCCAAUUCUACAAGGAUCAAGCCAUUAGCCACUGCAAUUGACCACCAACAGUGUGCCCCGAGGGGAAUUCAGGAUGGAGGAAAACAGGAAACUUUCUGUACUUCGGAUAUACUGAUCCUUAGAUAGAAAGAAACAUUUGAGGUAUACACAAGAAACUAAUGAAAGAGAACAGAGGUCCUUAUAAACUUGCUCCAUAUCUGCUCAAAAUGCUUCAAGAAAUGCUCAUGGGCUUCCCUGGUGAUGCAGUGGUUAAGAAUCUGCCUGCCAAUGCAGGGGACACAGGUUCGAGCCCUGGUCCAGGAAGA